Molecule: long non-coding RNA, 401 nt
Organism: Ipomoea nil (Japanese morning glory)
Lineage: Eukaryota; Viridiplantae; Streptophyta; Magnoliopsida; Solanales; Convolvulaceae
Exons: 3
Source: RefSeq, a predicted model, not a curated record
UUGACAUUUGUGCGCCUAUGUCUAUCUCCAGCCAAACAAUAAUCCUGUAAAUCCUCUAAGCUAGAACCUCCUGCAGAUGACAUGUGGAAUUUGCGACUUCUCGAGUCUCAAUCGUAGUUGGAUUAUCUGCUCUCCCUGUCAAAGAAACUCGAUCUAUAUCCACUUCUACUAUGCGAGAACCAUCAAUCAGUGCAUCCUAUUUCUCCCGAUGAAGCAUGAAAUGCUCAUCAAGCACUACAUCUCCCUUAAUCACCACCUUCUUCGUUGUAUGAUCUUAAAACUUGUAUCAUUUUAUACCUUUCUUGAACCCCAAAAAAAUACACUUCUUUGACUUGGGUUCUAAUUUCGGUCUCUUAUCACUUGGAACAAGAACAUAGUCAGGCCGACCGAAAACUUGUAAA